RNAcentral lists this long non-coding RNA (681 nucleotides) under Rattus norvegicus (Norway rat). RNAcentral describes it as "long non-coding RNA NONRATT017476". The record is from RNAcentral. Lineage: Eukaryota; Metazoa; Chordata; Mammalia; Rodentia; Muridae.
GACUAUCAUCAGAUUCUGUUUUCUCAAGAUCAUGCUGUCUCCUGAGUAAAAUGAGGCAUCUUUUGGUUAAAACUGUGAAAGAAACCAAUUAGGUGCGGAACUCAGCCAAGUAAUAUUUCUAAUUCGGACCAGUUUCUGAGAGUCUGUGUCCUAGAAGGAAGCAUACUGCCUGGGUGUGUCUUUGGAUUCUAGGUAAGGUCAAGUGCUGUCUGUGGACACAGAGGAGAUGGUUCCACCUUGCCACCGGGCAGAUCAGUUCUGGCAGAGUGGAAUCCAAGGGCUACCAGUGUCAGGAAUAUGGAAUUGGGCUAUUUAUCUGCUUUGCCUUAAAACGUUCUCUUAUAAUUUUUUUCUUUUUUCAGUGCUGUCUGGGACCGAGGGAAAAUGACAACAAACAAUUCGACCUUGAACUUACUUCAAGAUCCUGUACCCAGCACUGCGUUAAAAGCUCUAUUUCGGCACUCACUCGGAUUAAAGCACUGCUCAAAACACAGCCUUGCCAACUUGGCUCCAGGGGAGAAGCAGCCACUGGAACAAUGCAGGCAAUUUAAUCGUGUUGCAGAGAGGAGGAAGCCCGAGGAAGCUCUACCGGAAUGGAAUGUAAUUCCCCAGUCCCAACAGGAAAAGUGAAAGUGGGGCUGAGGUGGACGAAAGGCAACAUCCAAAGUGGCAUGAAAAUUA